RNAcentral lists this ribosomal RNA (912 nucleotides) under uncultured marine archaeon. RNAcentral describes it as "bacterial SSU rRNA". It matches the Rfam family "Archaeal small subunit ribosomal RNA", at positions 4 to 920 of the family's 1478-position model. The record is from RNAcentral.
CCGGUUGAUCCCGCCGGAGGCUACCGCUAUUGGAGUUCGAUUAAGCCAUGCGAGUCGCGAGUCUUCAAGGACUCGGCGUACCGCUCAGUAACACGUGGGUAACCUGCCCUAUGCUGGGGGAUAACCUCGGGAAACUGAGAAUAAUACCCCAUAGUUCACCACGCCUGGAACGGUGGGUGGAUGAAAGCUCCGGCGGCAUAGGAUGGGCCUGCGGCGUAUCAGGUUGUAGGGGGUGUAAUGUACCCUCUAGCCAUCUACGCGUACGGGUGUUGGGAGACAUCGCCCGGAGAUGGAUUCUGAGACACGAAUCCAGACCCUACGGGGUGCAGCAGGCGCGAAAACUUGGCAAUGCGAGCAAUCGUGACCAGGGAACUCCAAGUGCAUCGGGUAAGACCGAUGCUUUUCUUGACUCUUCAAAGGUCUUGGAAUAAGGGGUGGGUAAGGACGGUGCCAGCCGCCGCGGUAAUACCGGCGCCUCAAGUGGUAGUCGCUUUUAUUGGGCCUAAAACGUCCGUAGCCGGUUUGGUACAUUCGUGGGUAAAUCAAGGCGCUCAACGUCUUGAAUUCUGCGAGCACGGCCAGACUUGGGACCGGGUGAGGUGUGGGGUACUCUCAGGGUAGGGGUAAAAUCCUGUCAUCCUGAGAGGACCACCUGUUGCGAAGGCGCCACACUAGAACGGAUCCGACGGUCAGGGACGAAGCCUAGGGGCACGAACCGGAUUAGAUACCCGGGUAGUCCUAGGUGUAAACGCUGUGGACUUGAUGUUGGGAGUGCUCCGAGCACCCUCAGUGUCGAAGCGAAGGUGAUAAGUCCACUGCCUGGGGAGUACGGUCGCAAGGCUGAAACUUAAAGGAAUUGGCGGGGGAGCACUGCAACCUGAGGAUUGUGCGGUUUAAUUGGAUUCAACGCCG